RNAcentral lists this ribosomal RNA (483 nucleotides) under uncultured bacterium. Its description in RNAcentral is "partial 16S ribosomal RNA". It matches the Rfam family "Bacterial small subunit ribosomal RNA", at positions 28 to 523 of the family's 1533-position model. The record is from RNAcentral.
GACGAACGCUGGCGGCGUGCUUUACACAUGCAAGUCGAACGGUGAAGGUGGAGCUUGCUCCGCCGGAUCAGUGGCGAACGGGUGAGUAACACGUGGGCAACCUGCCCCUAACUUUGGGAUAACUACUCGAAAGAGUAGCUAAUACCGGAUAUGAAGUCUGUAGGCAUCUACGGAUUUGGAAAGUUUUUCGGUUAGGGAUGGGCCCGCGGCCUAUCAGCUUGUUGGUGAGGUAGUGGCUCACCAAGGCGACGACGGGUAGCCGGCCUGAGGGUGCGACCGGCCACACUGGGACUGAGACACGGCCCAGACUCCUACGGGAGGCAGCAGUGGGGAAUAUUGCGCAAUGGGCGAAAGCCUGACGCAGCAACGCCGCGUGCGGGAUGAAGGCCUUCGGGUUGUAAACCGCUUUCAGCAGGGAAGAAGCGAAAGUGACGGUACCUGCAGAAGAAGCACCGGCUAACUAUGUGCCAGCCGCCGCAGUAA